This 21-nucleotide transfer RNA is filed under the name Chirodactylus brachydactylus. RNAcentral's name for it is "partial tRNA-Glu". The record is from RNAcentral. RNAcentral also lists the same sequence under 3 other names. Lineage: Eukaryota; Metazoa; Chordata; Actinopteri; Centrarchiformes; Cheilodactylidae.
UUAUUCAACUACAAGAACCUA